Long non-coding RNA from Centruroides sculpturatus (bark scorpion), 718 nucleotides. RefSeq lists it as uncharacterized. The record is from RefSeq and is a predicted model, not a curated record. The transcript is spliced from 4 exons. Lineage: Eukaryota; Metazoa; Arthropoda; Arachnida; Scorpiones; Buthidae.
UUUUAGCCAAGCAUUUAACAAAUAUUUUACCGAAUCCGAGAUAAGAAAAUUGUUAAAAAGAUACUUUCCUUUUUAAAAAAAUGCGAUUAAAACACUGGAAAGAUUACAUCUAUGACGUAGAACUCGUGACGUGAAGCGUGACGCAUUGCAACGUUCGACGAAUUCGAAUUCGUUCCAUUUCGUAUUGCCUUCGCCAUCUUGGAAUAUAACGUUCUUCGGAAAUUACGAUUAACUCAGUAAUGAAUAAAUAUAUACUAAUAAGACAGUAAGAAAUAACAUAUUAUUUUCCAUAUUUUCAAACCGAAUAAAGAUUAUCUACAAAAUCGUCGAGUCGCACGAGGGCAUACGUUAGCCCUCGGCGACGUCGUGAAGACCGAAGUGGGAUUAUCUACAGUUACGUCGAGUCGCACGAGGGCAUACGUUAGCCCUCGGCGAUGUCGUGAAGGUGGGCAAGGGAUUAUUAAUAUACAAUAUUAUUAUUCGAAUAUGUUUCGAUCCAAGGAUCGCAAUUUUAAUAAUACUGGUUUAAACAAAUGCUUUCAUAAUGUAACAGAUGAAUUUGACAUUGGUAUUGGAAAUAAAUAGUUUUAUAUUUAUAAUAGUAAAAGCAAUUAGUUAAACUAAGCAAUAAUCUAAUGUACUACAUGUGCUUUGUAUUUUCAAAUGAAUAAUCAUUAUUAUUUGUUCUUUUAUGAGAAAUAAAUAAAAAUUCAAAAUA